Molecule: ribosomal RNA, 497 nt
Filed under: uncultured bacterium
Lineage: Bacteria
Description: partial 16S ribosomal RNA
Rfam family: Bacterial small subunit ribosomal RNA
Source: RNAcentral
GAUGAACGCUGGCGGCGUGCCUAAUACAUGCAAGUCGAGCGAACGGACGAGAAGCUUGCUUCUCUGAUGUUAGCGGCGGACGGGUGAGUAACACGUGGAUAACCUACCUAUAAGACUGGGAUAACUUCGGGAAACCGGAGCUAAUACCGGAUAAUAUUUUGAACCGCAUGGUUCAAAAGUGAAAGACGGUCUUGCUGUCACUUAUAGAUGGAUCCGCGCUGCAUUAGCUAGUUGGUAAGGUAACGGCUUACCAAGGCAACGAUGCAUAGCCGACCUGAGAGGGUGCUCGGCCACACUGGAACUGAGACACGGUCCAGACUCCUACGGGAGGCAGCAGUAGGGAAUCUUCCGCAAUGGGCGAAAGCCUGACGCAGCAACGCCGCGUGAGUGAUGAAGGUCUUCGGAUCGUAAAACUCUGUUAUUAGGGAAGAACAUAUGUGUAAGUAACUGUGCACAUCUUGACGGUACCUAAUCAGAAAGCCACGGCUAACUACGUG